Molecule: ribosomal RNA, 253 nt
Filed under: uncultured bacterium
Lineage: Bacteria
Description: partial 16S ribosomal RNA
Rfam family: Bacterial small subunit ribosomal RNA
Source: RNAcentral
UACGAAGGGGGCUAGCGUUGCUCGGAAUCACUGGGCGUAAAGGGUGCGUAGGCGGGUCUUUAAGUCAGGGGUGAAAUCCUGGAGCUCAACUCCAGAACUGCCUUUGAUACUGAAGAUCUUGAGUUCGGGAGAGGUGAGUGGAACUGCGAGUGUAGAGGUGAAAUUCGUAGAUAUUCGCAAGAACACCGAUGGCGAAGGCGGCUCACUGGCCCGAUACUGACGCUGAGGCACGAAAGCGUGGGGAGCAAACAGG